Long non-coding RNA from Suricata suricatta (meerkat), 228 nucleotides. RefSeq lists it as uncharacterized. The transcript has 3 exons. NCBI's taxonomy places the organism in Eukaryota, Metazoa, Chordata, Mammalia, Carnivora, Herpestidae. The record is from RefSeq and is a predicted model, not a curated record.
CCAGACCCGGGGGUCUAGUCCUUCCCACCCUUACCUCCACGAGUCCUGGGGUUUUUCUUACCAAGACGGAAACAAUGGAGAUGAUAGGUGAAACGAGAUUGGGAAAACGUUGAGUUCGUGAAGGAGAAAACUGAAUGGGAGCCCAGCCUCAGAACACUGGAUGCUGUUAGCUUUUGCUGUCCUCCUGGGUCAACUUUGUUUCUGAGCUUCCCGCAUGUUUGCCUGUAG